Molecule: ribosomal RNA, 519 nt
Filed under: uncultured bacterium
Lineage: Bacteria
Description: partial 16S ribosomal RNA
Rfam family: Bacterial small subunit ribosomal RNA
Source: RNAcentral
GACGAACGCUGGCGGCGUGCCUAAUACAUGCAAGUCGAGCGAGUCUGCCUUGAAGAUCGGAGUGCUUGCACUCUGUGAAACAAGAUACAGGCUAGCGGCGGACGGGUGAGUAACACGUGGGUAACCUGCCCAAGAGAUCGGGAUAACACCUGGAAACAGAUGCUAAUACCGGAUAACAACAGAUGAUGCCUAUCAACUGUUUAAAAGAUGGUUCUGCUAUCACUCUUGGAUGGACCUGCGGUGCAUUAGCUAGUUGGUAGGGUAACGGCCUACCAAGGCGAUGAUGCAUAGCCGAGUUGAGAGACUGAUCGGCCACAUUGGGACUGAGACACGGCCCAAACUCCUACGGGAGGCAGCAGUAGGGAAUCUUCCACAAUGGACGCAAGUCUGAUGGAGCAACGCCGCGUGAGUGAAGAAGGGUUUCGGCUCGUAAAGCUCUGUUGUUGGUGAAGAAGGACAGGGGUAGUAACUGACCUUUGUUUGACGGUAAUCAAUAAGAAAGUCACGGCUAACUACGUG